Molecule: ribosomal RNA, 301 nt
Filed under: uncultured bacterium
Lineage: Bacteria
Description: partial 16S ribosomal RNA
Rfam family: Bacterial small subunit ribosomal RNA
Source: RNAcentral
CAGCCGCCACGGUAAUACAGAGGGUGCGAGCGUUAAUAGGAUUUACUGGGCGUAAAGCGUGCGUAGGCGGCUUUUUAAGUCGGAUGUGAAAUCCCUGAGCUUAACUUAGGAAUUGCAUUCGAUACUGGGAAGCUAGAGUAUGGGAGAGGAUGGUAGAAUUCCAGGUGUAGCGGUGAAAUGCGUAGAGAUCUGGAGGAAUACCGAUGGCGAAGGCAGCCAUCUGGCCUAAUACUGACGCUGAGGUACGAAAGCAUGGGGAGCAAACAGGAUUAGAUACCCGCGUAGUCCCUGUCUCUUAUAC